Molecule: long non-coding RNA, 381 nt
Organism: Prionailurus viverrinus (fishing cat)
Lineage: Eukaryota; Metazoa; Chordata; Mammalia; Carnivora; Felidae
Exons: 3
Source: RefSeq, a predicted model, not a curated record
GGAACCCCCAACCUCCUCCUUUCCACCUCAGACACUGAGCAUGCUCACUGCAGAUUAAGAAGAACGCACGGUCUGGAUUAUUUCUUUUUUGAAAUGUGGAUGGAUCUGGUAACUAAGGCAUCUUAGAAGAGAAUACUGGCCUUUCCAUCUUUGGUCACAAAAAGGAGAGCUUAAACAGAGAUGCUGAGAAGGCAAGUAUAGCAGAGAAUGUGAAGAAAUCCCCGCCAUGGUACCCACAGCAGAUGUUUUCAAAGUUUGGGGAUGGUGAAGGACCCAGGGGACGGUGCCAAGGAGCAGCACGAGGUGCCGUGUGAUAAAUGGAGCUGUCUCUUUCCCAUUACAGGAACAUAGCAAGUUUCAAGAGCAAAUCAGAAACCUAGA